UUCAAAUUCCAAUUUCCCUUAAAUUUCUUUAAUUUUUUGCGAACCGAACCCUUAAAAUUUUUAAGAAAUCUUUAAGUUCCGUUCCGUUCCCGCUCCUUAUGAAAUUUUAUCCCUUUCAUCAUUCCCACCCACCCCCAAAUUAAUGCACCUUAACCCUAAAUCUACGCCUUAUUUCACCCCACCCAACCCAAUUGUCUGUCUUCCUCGCCUUAUUUCUUCCAAAUCACAAUCUUUUUGUUCAGGCUGUCUAGAUCGUUGACCCACUACUACCAGAUCCCUCAAUGGCGACUUCUUGACAUUUGUAGAAAUUCGAUUUGGUCUUGUGGAAGGAUUGUAAUUUGGGAGGUUAUAGUUGCAUCUGCACGUCAUUUUAGUUGUUUCUGAAAUAAUAGUUCUAGUUGUUGCUCUUGAUCUGAGGAGGUAUGAAAUCAUAUUCUGGUUCUACGAUCGAUGCUUGGAUGGUGUGUUAAAAUGAUUGGUUUUUUCAUGUCAACAUUUUUGGGCCAAAAGUUGGAACUCUUAGAUUUCAUCACAACAACCACAAACUUGCAACAUGGUUCAAGAUACAGCUCUAGCUUUAUUAAGAAAUGAAUUCAAGAUGUUAAAGUUUUACACAUUUAUUCCUUUAUAAUUGUAGAACUUGUUUAUACUUUAAAGAAAUAUAUACCUUUGUGUUUGUAAAAUUUGUUGGUUUUAUUUG
This 700-nucleotide long non-coding RNA is filed under the name Helianthus annuus (common sunflower). RNAcentral describes it as "hypothetical non coding rna". Lineage: Eukaryota; Viridiplantae; Streptophyta; Magnoliopsida; Asterales; Asteraceae. The record is from RNAcentral.